RNAcentral lists this ribosomal RNA (373 nucleotides) under uncultured bacterium. RNAcentral's name for it is "bacterial SSU rRNA". It matches the Rfam family "Bacterial small subunit ribosomal RNA", at positions 790 to 1167 of the family's 1533-position model. The record is from RNAcentral.
GUAGUCCACGCCCUAAACGAUGAUCACUCGAUGUGUGCGAUACACUGUACGCGUCUGAGCGAAAGCAUUAAGUGAUCCACCUGGGAAGUACGACCGCAAGGUUGAAACUCAAAGGAAUUGACGGGGGCCCGCACAAGCGGAGGAGCAUGUGGUUUAAUUCGAUGAUACGCGAGGAACCUUACCUGGGCUUGAAAGUUAGUGAAUGCUGUGGAAACAUGGCAGCUAGCAAUAGCACAAAACUAGGUGCUGCAUGGCUGUCGUCAGCUCGUGCCGUGAGGUGUUGGGUUAAGUCCCGUAACGAGCGCAACCCCUAUCAUUAGUUGCCAACAGGUCAUGCUGGGGACUCUAAUGAGACUGCCCGCGCAAGCGGUGA